GUGCUGGCUUCAGCAGCACACGUGCAAAAACUGGAACAAUACAGAGAAGAGUAGCAUGGCCCGGUGCAAGGAUGAUGCGCAGAUUCAUGAAGCAUUCCAUGUUUAA
This is a small nuclear RNA of Zalophus californianus (California sea lion), 106 nucleotides long. Lineage: Eukaryota; Metazoa; Chordata; Mammalia; Carnivora; Otariidae. The record is from Ensembl.